ACUUAAAUAGCUUAAGAUAGAGCAUGAUAUUGAAGAUAUUAAGGUAAUAGAAUUAUUUUUAAGUA
RNAcentral lists this transfer RNA (65 nucleotides) under Paraglenea fortunei. Its description in RNAcentral is "tRNA-Phe". The record is from RNAcentral. Lineage: Eukaryota; Metazoa; Arthropoda; Insecta; Coleoptera; Cerambycidae.